Molecule: ribosomal RNA, 500 nt
Filed under: uncultured bacterium
Lineage: Bacteria
Description: bacterial SSU rRNA
Rfam family: Bacterial small subunit ribosomal RNA
Source: RNAcentral
UCAGGACGAACGCUGGCGGCGUGCUUGACACAUGCAAGUCGAACGGGGAUAUUAUUGGAAGGGCUUCGGCCUGGAAGGUGAUAUUCGAGUGGCGGACGGGUGAGUAACGCGUGAGCAAUCUGUCCCAGACAGGGGGAUAACACUUGGAAACAGGUGCUAAUACCGCAUAAGACCACGGCAUCACAUGGUGCAGGGGUAAAAGGAGGAAUCCGGUUUGGGGUGAGCUCGCGUCCGAUUAGCCAGUUGGCGGGGUAACGGCCCACCAAAGCGACGAUCGGUAGCCGAUCUGAGAGGAUGACCGGCCACAUUGGAACUGAGAGGCGGUCCAAACUCCUACGGGAGGCAGCAGUGGGGAAUAUUGGGCAAUGGGCGAAAGCCUGAACCCCAGCAACGCCGCGUGAGUGAAGAAGGCUUUCGGGUUGUAAAGCUCUGUUAUAGGUGACGAAGGAAGUGACGGUAGCCUAUAAGGAAGCCCCGGCUAACUACGUGCCAGCCGCAGC